GACGAACGCUGGCGGCGUGCUUAACACAUGCAAGUCGAACGGAAAGGCCCUGCUUUUGUGGGGUGCUCGAGUGGCGAACGGGUGAGUAACACGUGAGUAACCUGCCCUUGACUUUGGGAUAACUUCAGGAAACUGGGGCUAAUACCGGAUAGGAGCUCCUGCUGCAUGGUGGGGGUUGGAAAGUUUCGGCGGGUGGGGAUGGACUCGCGGCUUAUCAGCUUGUUGGUGGGGUAGUGGCUUACCAAGGCUUUGACGGGUAGCCGGCCUGGAGGGGGGACCGGCCACAUUUGGGAGGGGGAGACGCCCCAAACCCUCCCGGGGGGGAGAGGGGGGGAAUAUUGCCCAAGGGGGGGGAGAGCAUGGCGGCAACGCGGCGGGGGGGGGGAGGGCCUCCGGGGUGUAAGCCCUUUUCCCCGUGGAGAAGGCGUGAGGGGGGGUAAUGGGGAAAAAACACCCGCUUAAUCAGGG
RNAcentral lists this ribosomal RNA (468 nucleotides) under uncultured bacterium. RNAcentral's name for it is "partial 16S ribosomal RNA". It matches the Rfam family "Bacterial small subunit ribosomal RNA", at positions 28 to 507 of the family's 1533-position model. The record is from RNAcentral.